UCUGCGGAAGCCUAUCGGCCGCUCGCCCUCCUUAGGAGCAACGAAUUGUGGGGUGCAAGCUCGGCGCUGUCCACCCGUGGAGCAAGGGGAGCACCGGAGCGUUCUCCACGCCACCUAGGACACCGACCCGCGUGGGGAGAAUUUGCCCUCGCCCGGGCUUCCAACGAGGCGUCGCGGACACUUUGGAGAUGCUCCCUGGCCCCAGCCAGGAGGACUGAGCGGUGACUUGCAGACAGGAGCCCAGCAUAAGUGUCCUCUGAGAGGCUCCACUCAGCAGCUGACUGAAACAGAUGCAGACCCGCAGCCAAGCAUUGGAUGUAAUUUGUGGGAGUCUUACGGAAAGACUGAGGACCCAGAGGGGUUAGGAACUCCACAUGAAGACCACAAGCUUGGAUUUAAAUCACAGUAACACUGCGGGAAGAUGAACGGCAGUGCUAUUGAAUGUGGCUAAAAUUGGAUCCUUCAGCACAGGAUGAGCCCCAAGAGAGGCCUGGAUACUGACCACUGGUUCCGACAAUCCUCAAAGACAAUGGUGUUCAUGAGGACAGACAUCAUCUGUAAGACAGACCCACAUGAAAACUGGGGCCCUUGGCUUAGAGCUUGCCUGAACCCCAGACUUUCUGUGUACUCCUUCCAUCCUGCCACCUUUCUGACGGCAGGGGGCUUUCUCUGGACACUUGGCUCUCACUCUGGAAGCCUAGAAGGCAAUGUGAACUCUGGGCAGACCCUGCCACCUCAAGGAAAAGCUUGCUUGGUGAGAACCUGCUUGGCGAGCCAGGAGGUUCAUUUUCUGCUUCUCACACCUUAUAUGCUUUGCUCUGUGCUAGGUACCAGGUAAGGGCCCAACUCACUUUCCUGUCUGCUUCUUACCUCACCAAACAGUUUAUGAUGUUAAUGGACAUCUCUCUGUAGCUCAUCACUGAGUGACUCCAGAGUGGUGUUUCCUGCUAGCUCAGACUAUUGUUUAACAAAUCAUCCAUUACUAAUUGUUCACUCACUGCUAUGUUACAAGGACUCACUUAUCCACACUUGUAACUCCCGAGGUUAAGGCACACAGAAGAGAUAAUAGGACUCUUUGAGCUUCCCUCGAAGCUUGCUAGGGAAGUCACAGAAAGAAAAUCGCGGGGAACAGGUGUAGGAAAAGAACAGCGUGUGGAGGGGAGAGACCUCUAAGUUCCUCAUAAGUAGACAGGAGGCAAAGACGGUGGGAAUGAAUAGUAAGGGACUUAGGGUGGCAGGAGACAGAAGGGAAACCCCAUGGCCAGAAUAGAAAACCACUGAGUCUAGACUUUACCCUCAAUGCAAGGUAGCUAGUGAUGGGCUUGCGGGCAUGGUGAAGGAUGUGGAAUGUGCCCUGGGCAUGAGCCAUGAUAGGAGGGAGUCCAGGCAAAUGGCUGUGAAGUGGGCUGAUUUCUUCUACUACAGCCUAUCUGCUCCCAUAGCUCUAGAGAAAACACAAAUGCAGGGCAAACCCAAGGGUAGUGGUAGAGUAAGCCACAGAUGCCAUCCCUGCUGGGCUUUGAUGACUUGGUUUGCUUUGAAUGCUUUUAGCAUCCUCCCUUUUUUGCAUAAGUAUGAAUGUGUAAUGUGCAUGUGCUGUAUAUAAGGGUGAGGUUGGGUGUCUCCCUCAAAUGCUUUCUACUUCACUUACUGAGGUACCAAGUUAGUUAUUGCUGAACCCACAGCAUGAGGAUAAUGUCCAUCUAUCCAUCCAGCCAGCUUGCUGGCCUCUCGAGCACUGGGCUCACAGGUGGGCACGGCACUCACACGGCACUUGUGCACUGUGUAGGUGCCGCUAGGGAUCUGAACUCUGUUCCUUCAUUUGCACAAGUGCCUACUUACCUCCAGAGCCAUCUUCCUGCCCCUGGCAAAAAGUUUUGGUAAUCUAAUUUAUUCUGUGAUCUUUGGCAAGUAACUGAACGGCUCUUGCGAUGUCUCUUUUUAUUAACUCUGAAGAGGGAAGGAAAUGAUCCAGCUCAAGGAAGCUGAGCAUGAAAUGAGACGGCACUGGGAAAGCGCUGCUGAGUCUGCAUCCUUCAGACACUGCAGGCAUAGCGAUACCGGCAGUGUGCAUCUCUGUAGUUCCACAGCUGCCAUUCUGUCACCACCUCAGUGAUUAGGCUGGUUACAGACGGAAUCUGCCAGCCUAUACACAACACAGGCUGUAUGUCCAGUCUCUCUGGAGAGGCUAGAACUCCAUACCUGACAUGCUCAACAUCCAUGUAGAUCACAUGUUCCCAUGAACAGUACAGUGAGCCAGCCAAAGUCAUAGAGCACAAAUUAAAUUGACAAGCAAAACUAACAGAUCCACAGAGACAGUCUAAAAUAUUAUGGGUUUCACAAGCUGAGGCAGAAUGGAUAUUUUAAUGGAGAAGAUUAAAGUCAGAGGCACCAAAUUCUUCCAGUAACUGACAAAGCAUCCUGGAGUGAUGUGCCAAUUACUUUAUACUGUCCUCUCGUGUAUUCAUUUGUCUGAAUGCAUGUAUUUAUGUCUGUAAUAAGAAAGGGGAUGUUUGAAUAAAAUAACUUCUCUAAAAAU
This 2539-nucleotide long non-coding RNA is filed under the name Mus pahari (shrew mouse). Its description in RNAcentral is "predicted gene 12116 (MGP_PahariEiJ_G0004582.1)". The record is from RNAcentral. Lineage: Eukaryota; Metazoa; Chordata; Mammalia; Rodentia; Muridae.